AGAACGAACGCUGGCGGCGUGCCUGAGACAUGCAAGUCGUGGGAGAAAGUCGGAGCAAUCCGGCGAGUAAACCGGCGCACGGGUGAGUAACACGUGGACAACCUGCCCUGGAGACUGGGAUAACCCGUCGAAAGACGGACUAAUACCGGAUAAGACCACGAGGGGUUCGCCCCUUGGGGUAAAAGGUGGCCUCUGCUUUUGCAAGCUAAUACUUCAAGAAGGGUCCGCGUCCUAUCAGCUAGUUGGUGAGGUGACGGCUCACCAAGGCGAAGACGGGUAGC
This 281-nucleotide ribosomal RNA is filed under the name uncultured bacterium. RNAcentral describes it as "partial small subunit ribosomal RNA". It matches the Rfam family "Bacterial small subunit ribosomal RNA", at positions 26 to 287 of the family's 1533-position model. The record is from RNAcentral.